UCCUGGGGGUCCUUUCAGGUUAUGUGGAAAAUUUGAACAGGUUCCUUCAUUCCUAGGCCAAAUUACAGGGGGGGAACAAAUCCUCACAGCUGCCCCGUGAGAAUAUGAACCCCCCCCCUUAUUUUGAGAACCGUGAGUGCUGGACUCCAACUUGUGCUGUGUUUGUGGGGAAGCUACACAUGACACAGACAACAGAUGGAUUCAGUGUGACGAGUGUUGCAGGUGGUUCCAUCUUGUAUGUGUCGGGGAGCCUCCAACCGAAGGCUCUUUUUUGUGUACAGCAUGUACAGAAAUUAAAUGCUAAAUAUUUGAAGCUUGCUUGAAGACCAUUUUGCUUUUUUUUAAUUAAAAUUUGUAUUUUUUCCAUUUUAUUUUAUUAUUUAAAAAAAAAAACUUUUUUUUUUUCUUAAUAAAGUUCAAAGUUAUAA
Syngnathus typhle (broad-nosed pipefish) is the source of this 428-nucleotide long non-coding RNA. RefSeq lists it as uncharacterized. NCBI's taxonomy places the organism in Eukaryota, Metazoa, Chordata, Actinopteri, Syngnathiformes, Syngnathidae. The transcript is spliced from 2 exons. The record is from RefSeq and is a predicted model, not a curated record.